GCAGAUCCUACUUUAGCCAGAUUUGUUGGUGUGGUAGCCAGCUUUCUGCCAUUAUUACACAGUACCUGAGGCAAUUAACUGUUAUAAAGAAUAGGUUUAUUUUGACUCAUGGUUUGGGAAGUUACAGUCUGACAUGGUGGGCUAAGUGCCCUUUGCUUUGGGGUCUCUAGCAGGGGCAACAUAGAGGGUCCGGAGCAUCUGUUGGAGCAGACUACUUAUCUCAUGAGCUAACAGAAACAGAAGAAAUAGGACAAUCCAGGGUGGUACAGUCCCCUUCAAGAAUGUACAGCUGGUGACUUUAAGACCUUGUAUACGGCCCCACUUCCUAAAGAUCUCAACGUCUCCCAGUUCUGCCAAGCUGAGGAUCAGGGCUUGAAUGAUGGACUUUGGGGGGCACACUUGACAUUCAGAUUAUAGUAGUAGGUUUUUGGAAACAGCUCCAUCUGCCUGCCAGACAUUCAGAACCACAAUACUGUUUAAAAUUUCCCCGAUGCCACAGAAUUAUUUCUAUUAAUGUAGUAUUUGUUUCCUUUUAGUGACCAUGUUGUUAAACAUCCGAUUCACACUGUCAGAAAUAGAAAGCAGCAAGUACCAGUAACAGAUCCAUUUACAUUGUGUUUAGACAUAAUAGAUAAAGAAGUUGGUUUUCAAGCAACUGACAAGUCUUCCAAAAUGUUGAAAUAUAAAUGCUCAGGUUGCAUAGCGGUAAGAAAAUUACUCAACAGUCGAAAUUUUAGCAAGCUUUUGCACUCUUGUACAUACCAAUGUGAUUAUCAUAAAGUCAUUAUGGAAGCUGAAGAUAAAUAUAAAAGUGAAUUAAGGAAAGCACUUAUCUGUGACAAAGGUAAUUAAUUAGCAAAUUUAACUGUAAUUACGGCUACACAUUCUGAACCAUCAUCUAAAGUAUUAGAUAUAUUGACUAGAGAGUGUAAAAUACUGUUGAAAAGAAAAACCUAUCUCUAGAUUACCAAUAACUUAAGAUAUACUAGAGUAGAUUUAGUCUAUAAUGACUUAAAAAUUCUCUGUAAACUGGGUAUGGUGGCACACACCUGUAUUCUCAGCCUUUGGGAGGUAGAGGCAAGAGAAUCAGGAAUUCAGGGCCAGCCUUAACUAUACAGAGUUUGGAGCCACCCUGAUCUUUC
Molecule: long non-coding RNA, 1142 nt
Organism: Alexandromys fortis (reed vole)
Lineage: Eukaryota; Metazoa; Chordata; Mammalia; Rodentia; Cricetidae
Exons: 3
Source: RefSeq, a predicted model, not a curated record